This is a non-coding RNA of Cinara cedri, 207 nucleotides long. The record is from the annotation of a GenBank genome assembly. NCBI's taxonomy places the organism in Eukaryota, Metazoa, Arthropoda, Insecta, Hemiptera, Aphididae.
AGAACGUGUGUACACAUUAUUUUCAGCGUCUAUAAAAGAUGGGAUAUUUUUUAAAAAACACUGCUCUAUUGUAGUAAGGAAAUGAACAGUUAUAUGAUGGGAAAGUAGAUAUAAAUGUGUUAAAGCAAUUAGAGAUGAACUACCUGAAGUAUUAAAUGCUUCAGAAGAAAUAGUUGAAUGCUCUAAUGAUCCAAAGUUAGUAAGUGA